GCGGAGGAAAAGAAACUAACAAGGAUUCCCCUAGUAACGGCGAGUGAAGCGGGAAGAGCUCAAAUUUGUAAUCUGGCCCUUUCAGGGUCCGAGUUGUAAUCUCGAGAAGUGUUUUCCGCGCCGGACCGCAUACAAGUCUGUUGGAAUACAGCGUCAUAGUGGUGAGAGCCCCGUAAUUGAUGUGGAUGCCCGGUGCUUUGUGAUACACUUUCGAAGAGUCGAGUUGUUUGGGAAUGCAGCUCAAAUUGGGUGGUAAAUUCCAUCUAAAGCUAAAUAUUGGCGAGAGACCGAUAGCGAACAAGUACCGUGAGGGAAAGAUGAAAAGCACUUUGGAAAGAGAGUUAACAGUACGUGAAAUUGUUGGAAGGGAAACGCUUGAAGUCAGACUUGCUAUUCGGAAUUCAGCCGCAAGGUGUACUUUUCGAUUUGCAGGCCAGCAUCAGUUUUUGGGGGUGGAAAAGGGUGGAGAGAAGGUAGCAACCUUGGUUGUGUUAUAGCUCUUUACUGGAUUCAUCUUUGGGGACUGAGGAUCGCAGUGCGCAAUUUACUUUGCAAACCUUUCGAGGUUUUCGUACUUAGGAUGCUGGUGGAAUGGCUUUAAACGACCCGUCUU
This 613-nucleotide ribosomal RNA is filed under the name Glaciozyma watsonii. Its description in RNAcentral is "partial large subunit ribosomal RNA". It matches the Rfam family "Eukaryotic large subunit ribosomal RNA", at positions 50 to 655 of the family's 3401-position model. The record is from RNAcentral. Lineage: Eukaryota; Fungi; Basidiomycota; Microbotryomycetes; Kriegeriales; Camptobasidiaceae.